This 24320-nucleotide long non-coding RNA is filed under the name Panax ginseng (ginseng). Its description in RNAcentral is "long non-coding RNA (PGIN_LNC000207)". The record is from RNAcentral. Lineage: Eukaryota; Viridiplantae; Streptophyta; Magnoliopsida; Apiales; Araliaceae.
CUAACGAGACGAAGACAUGGGAGCCUCUCAUAGGCCAAAAACUGUAAAUACAAAGAUCAAAUAUAUGCGGUUAAGCAAACUGGCAACCCGAACGAGGGCAAAUUAAAAAUCCAGAGAAAAUACUCACCAGCAAAAAUGGGUAAAACCCUAACCAAGCCUCUAUCAUUCCCUCUGAGCGUAGGCGCAUCCCUCUGAGGAAGUAGGCAAAGGUUUAAGAGCCCCAAUCAAAAUCUCUGAUACGAUCCACCUUUCGAGUGGCACUAACUAAAGCAAAUGAUACCAUCGAAGAUUUAUCCACUAGGAAAUAACCCCUGAUGAUGAUCAGGAACAAUCGCCAAAUGAUGCAAUCUCUAACCCUCGUAUCAUCGGGCAAAGGCUCGGUCAAAACCCUACUCAUGGUGUCUACACUCAAGGGACCAGAACGGACAAUCCGACCCUUGAGCGCCAUGGCCGAGACUCCCAAAAGGGAUCUUACAGCAGUCCAAAUCCAGUGAUGAAUUGCCAAUCCAUCAGUGUCAUCAUAACCUUACAAUAUAGUAAGUGAAGAGACUAGGUCUGGUGAAACCAGUACUCAGACAAAGCCCUGAGAUAACCCCAAAGAUAACGACCGGGGGGGAUAGAAUAGAAAGCCUCAAAGCCCCACGCGUGACUAAUCUCCCUAUACUCUUGAUGGAGAGUUGGGUACAAAGAAUGUAUGCUAAACCAGUUCCUUCUAGGUUGAAUAAAGCCGGGAACCUGAAACAAAUGGCAAAUCAAGAUCAAAACCCUUGCCCCAUAAAUGGGAAAAUGAAGAUGAAAACGGCUAUUACCUCGUUCGCAUGAAGAUAAAUCGAGCUGUGAUGACUCAAAUCAUCCAGGAGAUCUGGAAUCAUCACAUUUAUAACUGGAAGCUCCCUGCGGGGAAUGGAAGAAGAAGGAGCAGGAUCUGCAAUGGGUACAUCCUCCUCCUCGUCCACGAUAUCUGGUCUCUCAACCCGGAUAUGGCGAAUUACCGACUCAGUUAACCAACGAGGCUGUCGGGCUGGGCGAGGCCGAAGAACAUCUGAAGCUCUCCUCCUCACAUCUGAAGAGGCCCUACGGGAGUUACUCGGCUAGUCUAGAUCCAUAUAUCUGGAAAAAAGUCUCCAAAUCACCUCAAAAAGGGCGUGGUAAAUUCUAAACCUGAAGCUCAUUAAUUUCAAUUCAUAGCUUCAUGCAUGUAUACAUUGCUUUAACACACAUCUACAGUUGAGUUAAAAUUACAUGUUCAUUAAAUGCCCAGACUCAUGAAAUUUUUUUGUCAGAGUCUCCUUUGUAAAAUAGACUGUCCCCAUGUACGUAUGCAUGACUAGGUGGCCAUUAAGUAGCACACCAACUCAAAGUCAUGAACAUCUUAUAUGGAUGAAAAAACAUUAAAAAUAAAUCCAUCAUGGUAGCCUAAUUACCAUUUGUUCUUUGCUUUAAAACCUUUGAUUAUUUGUCCUUAAAUAGGAUGAAAAAAUAGCAGAAAAGGGUACCAAUUGACUGUUUCAAAAGUUUAUUUUUUUUCACAUCAAUAUGUUCAGCAUGGUAAAAGACUAACAUUUACUGUGGGUCUACAUGUAAGUCAUUGGUAUUCGCCCAGAUACAGGGUUCAUAAAGCCGAUGAUAGAAGCUAUUGAAAGUGGCCCUUAUCAACACAUCACGAAGGUUCGAUGCCAUGAAUCGGGGGUUGUAAUUGCAAUCAUAAGCAUCCAAGCUCGUCAAGGGUGUAACUCGUUAGAAAGACAUCCCCAACGGAGAUAUCAUACAUCCCUGACACUGCAAGCCAUUGGAAAUAAUUCCAGCGAAGCAUCAGAAAUGGUCCGGUGAUGUAAGCCAUUGAAAGCUACUUCAACGAAGAUCAUAGUAUCUGAUAUGGCAACCCGUUGGCGACAACUCCAACGAAGCGUUAGAGGAGUCUAAUGAUGCAAACCAUGGAAAACCAUAUCCAUUGUGGAGGACCUAUGAUGGAAUCUAUUUUAUAGAUCCUCAGCCGAGACACUGUGAAGGCUCAGUGAUUUCCAUACUAUUGUAAACUACUAUGCAAGUAGGCACCAAGGAAAGUCGGUGAUUGUCAAGCUUCACAACACUACCAUGCAAAUAAGUAUUGUGAAGAUGACGUGGAAGCCAGCAGUCAAGAUUUUAUCACUAGAGGAACUAUCUGCAUUGACUUGGUAGAAAGUCAGAAUGAUGGUGAUAAUGCCAGCGUAUUGGCAAGAAGAGUCUAAUGGUGGAAACUAAGCCAAGCCAUCAUCCGGAUAAAAUAUCAACAAUCCCCGAGAGUCACUCGCAAAAGAAAAGAACAUCUUCAAAAGCACAUCCAAAAGAUAAAGGACGUUGGUGACAACCACAAUGUCAAAAUUCGAUGAUCUCAACCGUUGGAAACCUCCACUACAGGAAUCUUGAAAACAUCGUUGCAACUUGUUGUUAAAUCAGGUUCAGAUAGCAUAAAUGGACAUUUCAAACCGCUGGCGACAACCCCAGUGUUGCAUCGGGAGAUCCAAUGAUCAAAGCUAUGUAAAUUACCAUUUGAGUAGACAUCAAAGCGGUGCAAGAGAAACCAUCAUUGACAACUCCAUCCAACAACAGAAGUGGUGGGAGCACGCAGUUAUCAUAUCCCAUUGGAAAUCAUUUCAAUAACAACAAUAUUCAGCAGAACAUCGCAUCAUGCUGCAUUGCAUUGCAUCAUCUUAAUCUUGUCAUAUUUCAAGUGUCUAGUAGUCUUUAUCCUAUCCAUGCCAUUGCAUUGCAUGAACAUGAUAAAUAGGGGCAUCUAUAGACACUCAAAAUUUUGCAUUCCUGUUACUAACCAUGCAAGAGGGCAUAAUCGUCUUCCAGAGACAACUUUGGAAAUCACAUCUAUUUCUAGCCCCAGAGAACCCCGGGAGAUCCAGAUCCAACCCCGAAGAUAACCCACGGAGAUCCAAGUUCCAGUCCCGGAGAUAAUCCCGAGAAAUUCAGUCUAAACCCCAAAGAUAACCCCGGGAGAUCCAGUUCCAAGCCCAGAGAUAACCUCAGGAGAUCCAGUUUCUAAAUCAGGAGAUAACUUAUGGAGAGUUAGUGUCCAACCUCGGAGAUAACCCCAGGGGAUCAAGUUCAAAGCCACCUUGAGAGGUCAAACCAACCUUAGAGACAACCCUGAGGACUGUCAUAGUUAACAUCAGGCUAAUCUCGGAGACAACCCUUAGAAAAGACUGCUACAACUGCACCCAAAGCCGAAGACAACCCCGGGAGGAGCAAAAUGGUCAUUUUUCCACCUCAACAUCAUCUCAACAAAGUUCAACUCAAACAACAUCCAAAGAUGUCCCACAAGAACUAUAGCUUAAAUCCCGAGUGACAACUGCACUAGACAACUCAACAAAUAGACUGCCAAGACUUUGAGAUCUGGUCAUGGACCCAUCUUCCCGACUUCAGACAAUGUCUAAUCUCAUGUCAUUGUGUAACUCUUAUCAACGACUUUCUAAAAAGGUACAACACGCCUCCAUCGGAUGCCCGAAUUGAAAGUUAUAAAGGUUUGACUGGACAACGCGUAGCCCAAGUGCACAUACUUUGUGAUGACGGGACCCACAAAGCCCAAGGUAGCCCAAACAGCCAUAGGUAGACCCGCGGCUGCCACGGGUUAACCCGCGACACAUUUUGUGAUUACCCCAAAAUAGGUAUACAUCACCCAUCUUGGUUCGCCAAAUACAUGGUACUGAAUACAAAUACAAACUUAAUUAUACAACAUGAGCUGAGAGUUUUUACAAGAAUAUUGUCUUCUAGACAAUAUCCAAACUCAAAUGGAGUCCUCAUUACAUUUAUUGUCACACUAUUUUAUAGAAUAGUGAGGACUACUAUAACACCAUCUCGGACCAUCAAUCCAUUCCCCGACUAGUUCCGGCUACGUUCUCAUUUCCUGAAGAGAACAAUGGAAGUAAAAUGUUGAGCUUAACUAGCCCAGUAAGAAAUAUUAUGACUAAGAUAAUGCAGAAGAAGUUAUCAUUAGCCUUCAAUAAUGUUAAACUGAUAGAAUAUAAUAGACAACAAGUUUAACUACAACGGAACAAGCAAUCCAUUAGAAGAGUCAAGAAGAGCAUGAUAUCUACUAUCUUCUAUGAUUUAAAAAGUUUAUCAUUAACUUUAUCGCUGGGACUCAGCUUAAUAAAUAAAUCACUUCAUCGAAUCAUCCCUGCACUACAUGCCAAAGAUAUUCAUUAGUAUCACCUUCACAAAUUACUCCUGCACUACAGGCCAAGAAUAUUCGUGUAAUCAUCAAUGGUCAUGAUCAUACCAAAUUAUCUCUGGUCAUAAUCAUUCCAAUCAAUAGUUUAUCUAUGCAUGUAAGCCAAAGAUGACUUUCAUCACAAUAUAAAGCAUGAGGAUGAUGACAAUGAUAUAAGAAUUCAAUUAAAAGAAAGCAAAGGAUAAAUUUUUAAAGAUUUAUAAUUUAAUUUAUUCAGGAUUCAAUAAUGUCCAAAUUGUCAACAUGAUACUACUUUGUGGAGUAAAAUUAAGAAUAAUAUCCAUGUAUCAAAAAUAAUUUGGACUGAAAAGAAAUAAAAUUUUCGAUGAAUAGUACCCUAUGAAUAGUACUUCGGGAAUAGUUCCCUGUGAAUAGUACCCCGACAUGAAAAGUGCCCCGAAUACCCGAGUGAAUAAUAUUUGAGUGAAUAGUAAUCAGGUGAAUAGUAACUCAUGAAUAGUACCUCGGCAUAAAAAGUGCCCCGAAUACCUGAGUAAAUAAUAUUUCAGUGAAUAGUAACUAGGUUAAUAGUAACCCGUGAAUAGUACCCCGGGUGAAAAUAUUGAUAUUUAAUAAGAAUUUUCAGAUCAAUAUUCCAAUAAAACGAUACCGGAUGAAGCGCAAAACUCAAGAAUAUUCCACUAAUUUCAAGGAUUAUAGAAGCAAUACUUACCAUAGUAAGUUUAGAUUUAAGAAUAUGAAAAGAAAUAACAUUCAAGACUGCAAAUGGUUUUUCACCUGUCAUAUGGUACGUUAUCCGCGUAGACAGGUUAUUUUGACAUAUUAAAGGAUGAAUACGAAAAAUAGUAUUUCUUCUGAAUACAAAAGAAAUAAUACCCCUUACCUUAGUAGAAGGUUGGAUACUACAAUAGUAAAGUAGCAAAAUACUCUUCUUCUUACGCUAUAUGGUUUCUCUCUCUAUAACGUCUCUUGUGAAUCUCAGUGAAUUGGUGAGAAUGAAAGAAGAAUUAAUCUUCUAUUUAUAGGAGAAAUGACUAAAUAGUAACUAAUUCAUGAACGGUCUAGAUUGAUUUACUAUUAGAACGGACGGUCCGUAUUGAUUACUAUUAAAACCACAACCGACGGUCCAGAUUGAUUUACUUUUAAAACCACCACCGACGGUCCAGAUGUCCAGAUUGAUCUACUUUUAAAAACACCACCAACGGUCCAGAUUGAUUUACUUUUAAAACCACCACUGACGGUCUAGAUUAAUUUACUAUUAAAACCACCAUCGACGGUCCAGAUUGAUUUACUAUUAAAACCACCACCAAUGAUCCAUAUUUAUUUAACUUAUUACACUUUAGUACCCCUAAAGUUUUCCAAGUUUGCAUUAUUCCCCUCUAACUUUUGUAAUCCACUUAUCUUCAAUAAACACAUUCUAAAUACUUCAACGAUUAUUCAUCAUUAAUAUUAUAACUCACAAUAUUUAACAACCAGAUCAUUCGCAGGAAAGAGGGGGCUUUCCGAUAAGGAUUUCUCUCUAUUGACGCGCAAUUAGGUGACCAAACCUCUCCUCGACAGAACUUUCUAGACAUCAUCAAUAUUGAAAAUAAUAAUAUGAAUAACUUUGUUAUCUCAAUUAUUGAUGUAAUAAUAUAAAAUAUUAUGCAGAUGAUACUGUGACAAUAAUUGAAUCAAAUAGCGUGAGAUACUAUGCAACAAUUAUUGUAGCAAUAAUUGGGUAAACUGAGUGUCUUCUUAUGUAAGCAUCAAUAAUCAAUACCGUGUGCUACUAUGCAACCACGCGUAUUACUGUACUUUUACCACCGGGUAGUUCAACAGUUUAAGAGUAAAACUUUCGCCGUUAUUUUUAUAAAAAGAUAUUUCUGUCAUUUUUUAACUACGACAAUACUUCUGUUGUGGGGUCCACCAAUGAUUGUGUCGUCAUACGAAUAUUCCCCGACCAAUCAAAUAUUUUAUAACAACUUGCUUACUUUGCAAAAUUUGUAAAUAUUACCCACAAAUAUAACAUUAUAUCAUAUCCACACCAUAAUAUUCAAUAAUAUAUUUCGUGAAAAAUUAAUCUUUAUUCAUAAAAGUUGGGGUCUUACAACCUCCCCUUCUUAUGAAAUUUUGUCCUCAAAAUUAGGGUACGUACCUGAUAUGUCGAAGAGGUGAGGAUACCUUGUAUUUAUUUUGAAUUCUAAUUCCCAGGUCAUUUCCUCAACAUCGUGGUUUCUCCACAAAACCUUGACUUGAGGUAUAACCUUGGAGCGUAGAGUAUGAUCCUUCUUAUCCAAGAUUUUAACAGGUACCUCUUCAUACGUUAAAUCUUCUGCUAUCUCAUCCGUUUUUAAUUCAAUAAUGUGGUUCGGGUCUUUCACAUAUUUAUGUAACAUAGAUAUGUGAAAACCAUUAUGAACACGAGACGUACUUGGCAGUAAGGCGAGGCUAUAGGCCACAAUUCCUACUCGAUCAAGGAUUACAAAUGGGCUAAUGAAUCGAGGAUUAAGAUUUCCUCUCUUUCCAAAUCUCGUAACUCCUUUCCAUGGAGCAACACGUAACAACACAUGAUCUCCGAUAUUGAAUUCCACGUCCUUUCGAUAAAGAUCAACAUAACUCUUUUGUCGAUCUUGUGAGAUUUUUAUACAUUGUCGGAUCAUUUGAAUCUUUUUCAUAGUCAUACGUACCAACUCCGGUCCCAACAACGUUGCUUCACCCACCUCGUCCCAUCAUACUAGAGAACGACACUUGCGUCCAUACAACGCCUCAAAUGGAGCCAUGCCAAUACUUUCUUGAUAACUGUUGUUAUAGGAGAAUUCCACUAAUGGCAAGAACUGGUCCCAACUUCCUUUGAAGUCAAGGACACGGAGUCUUAAUAUAUCCUCAAGAGUUUGAAUAGUCCUCUCCGACUUCCCGUCCAUUUGAGGAUGAUAUGCCAAACUAAAUCGUAAAUCCGUGCCCAUAGCUUUUUGCAAACUAACCCAAAAUUGUGAAGUGAAUCUUGGGUCUCGAUCAGAAACUAUGGAUACCGGCAUGCCAUGUAGUCUUACAAUCUCAUUUAUAUACAUACGAACAAGACGUUCAAGUGUAUAAGUUUCUCUUAUAGGUAAGAAAUGAGCAGACUUGGUCAAUCUAUCAAUAAUGACCCAAAUCGCAUCUAUGCCUUGAGAAACCUUGGGAAGACCAGUAAUGAAAUCCAUGGUAAUGUGCUCCCACUUCCAUUCUAGAAUUUCAAGUGGUUGCAAUGGACCUUUUGGCAUUUAAUGCUCCCCCUUGACUCGUUGACAAGUUAGACACCUUGAGAUAAACCUCGAUAUCUCUUUCUUCAUAUUGGUCCACCAAAAUGUAUGUUGAAGAUCACGAUACAUUUUUGUACUCCCAGGAUGGAUUGCAAACGGUGUGUUGUGCGCCUCUGUCAUGAUCUUAUACUUUAAAUCAGGGUCAUUUGGAACACAAAGUCUGGAGUUGACUCAAAUGAUUCCUUCUUCAUCGAUUCUUGCUUCCGGAACAACACCUUCUUGUACUUUCUUCUUCAUACGCAUCAACUCCAGGUCCGUAGCUUGAGCAGCUUUAACUUUAUCAAUUAAAGUCGGUUCUACUUGUAUAUUUUCCAUCAUCACAUGGAUCCCUGGAGUCUUUAACUCUAUCUCCAUCCUUUGCAAGUCAUACAAAAUGGGUCUUUGCGUUGACAAUAUCGCACUCGUACCCGCAUAUGAUCUUCUACUCAAUGCGUCAGCUACCACGUUCGCUUUUCGAGGAUGGUAUUGGAUGGUAUGAUCAUAAUCUUUCAAUAGCUCGAGCCAACGUCAUUGCCGCAUGUUGAGUUCCUUUUGAGUGAGAAAAUAUUUGAGGCUUUUAUGAUCCGUAUAGAUCUCCACUUUCUCCCCAUACAGGUAAUGCCUCAAAAUUUUAAGUGCAAAGACAACAACUGCCAACUUUAGAUCAUGAGUAGAAUAAUUCCUCUCAUAUUCUUUGAGUUGUCGAGAGGCAUAUGCUAUGACUUUCCUAUGUUGCAUGAGAACACAUCCUAACCCUUUGCCCGAAGUAUCACUAUAGAUGACAAAUCCCUCCGAGCAAGAUGGUAUUGUCAGAACAGGUGCUGAAAUGAGUCUCCUCUUAAGUUCUUGAAAACUCGUCUCACAUUCCUCGCUCCAAUCGAAUUUUGUAUCUUUUCGAGUCAGAUGAGUUAAUGGAGUAGCGAUUUGAGAAAAUCCUUCCAUGAAUCUCCGAUAAUAACCAGCUAAGCCCAGAAAGCUAGGUACUUCGGUCACUGACUUGGGUUGCUCCCAGCUUUGAAUUGCUUCAAUCUUUGCUGGGUCAACAAAUAUUCCAUGAUUUGAUAUCACGUGCCCAAGGAAUGCUACUUCGUCAAGCCAAAAGUUGCACUUCUUCAACUUGGCAUAAAGCUUGUUUUCACCAAGCUUUUGGAGUAUCAGCCUCAAGUGUUGCUCAUGAUCGUCACGGCUUUUGGAAUAUAUGAGGACGUCAUUAAUAAAGAUGACUACAAAAUGAUCCAAAUAUUCCUUAAAUACUUGGUUCAUCAUAUCCAUGAAGGUAGCAAGAGCAUUAGUCAAUCCAAAGGACAUGACUAGGAAUUCAUAAUGCUCGUACCGAGUUCUGAAAGCAGUCUUUGGGAUGUCAUCGAUUUUAAUCUUUAACUGAUGAUAUCCGGAAUGAAGAUCGAUCUUUGAAAAGAAUUUGGCGCCUUGAAACUGGUCAAACAGGUCAUCAAUGCGUGGCAACGGGUACCUAUUUUUGAUGGUGACAUGAUUCAACUCCCGAUAAUCAAUACAAACUCGCAUACUUCCAUCUUUCUUCUUUAUGAAGAGAAUAGGAGCAUCCCAAGUAAAUGUACUAAGAUGAAUGAAACUGAUGUCUAACAAUUCCUACAGUUGGGUCUUUAACUCCUUAAGUUCAACAGGAGCCAUUCGAUAUAGGGCUUUGGAAAUGGGUUUUGUACCGGGUUCAAGGUCGAUACAAAAUUCAAUUUCACUCUCUGGGGGUAGGCUAAGAAGUUCUUCAGGGAAUACGUCAGGAAAUUUAUUAACAAUAGAAAUAUCAUUCAAAUCUGACGUAUUUUUGUUUAAAUCAGUGACAUGGGCUAAGAAAGCUUGACAUCCAUUUUUUUAAUAAACGAAUAGCUUUAUGGCUUGAUAUGACAGUGAUUGACUUUAGUGGUUUGGUCGCUUGAAUUCACAUAAUAGGUUGGUUAGGAAUAUGAAUGCUAACAAUCUUACAAAAAUAAUCAAUUUUUUCAUGAUGAGUAGUUAACCAAUCAAUCCCUAAAAUCACAUCAAACGCAAGUAUUUUUAAGGAAAUAAGAUCGACUGGUAACGUGCGGUUACCGAUAUGAAUCAAACAAGACUUAUAAAUAGUGGAUGUAAUAAAGAUUUCCCCCAACGAAGUUUUAACCGAUAAGUCAAGGUGUAAUUUCUCUGGAGUCAAAUUUAAACGUUAAGCGCAAGUAGGAGAAAUAAAAGAAAGGGUAGAACAAGUAUCAAAUAAGGUAUAAGCUUCGCAAGAGUUUAUGAUUAGCUUACCCGUGAUCACCUCAUUCGAAUUCCUCGAUUUUUUGGGAGGUUACGACAAACGCUCUCCCUUGAACUACCAGUUUUGUCUUGUCUGGGACGGCCUUUGAUGCCUCCAUCUCAGCUGGACUUGACUUUGGUGCACAACAAAAUUACGCUAGGUGACAUUCUCUUCCACAAUUAUAACAUGCUUUGGACUGCUGCGUAAAGUUUGGACUGAUGUGUCCCUCCCCUCCGCAUUUGUAACAUACGACCGGCAGUCGUUCUCCUUCCUUAACAACAGGUGCUAGUGCUGACGUCUUUCCAUCAUUAUUGAAUCUCCUCUUCUUGAAAUUUCCACUUCUAUUAUCUUGGCCAUGAUUACUACUGGAGUGGUUACCAUUUUUUGCAUGUUGAUUCCCUCCACGUUUGUUUUCACCGCUUCGAUGACUACUACCACUGGUAUUAUCGACUUGCAGGCAGCUCUCUAUUGGUUGGGUUGACUCAUUAUCGCGCUCUAAUAACUGAGCCCUAUUUACAACAUCUGAAUACAAACAUAAUUUGUGAGAAAUGAGGUAUUGACGUAUUUCGGGUCUCAAACCUUGCAGAAACAUUCACGUCAUUCUCUCCUCAUUAUCAACCAAAUGGAAUGCGAAAUGGGAUAACUCGGUAAACUUAGCCUCAUACUACGACACAGUCAUAUUGUUUUGUUCCAACUUGAUAAACUCCACCUCCUUCACGUGACGAAUACUUUUAGGAAAGUACUUGUCGUUGAACAGCUCUUGAAACUUCUCCCAAGACAUUUUGAGUGCGGCAGGCUGAGUACGCUUUAUUGAUUCCCACCAGUAAUCUGCUUCUCCUCUCAACAUGAUAGUGGGAAAGGGAACCUUUUGCUCCUCGGAGCAUCCCAAUACAUCAAAUAUCUCGGUGAUCUGCUUUAUCCACGUCUCUACCUUAAAUGGUUCUUGCUUUCCCCAAAACUCUGAUGGUCCCAGCUCUUUGAAUUAUUUAGCGGUGACCAUAUGUGAGUUACCAGUGUUUCCGCCUGUAUUUUGAAAAUGAGCUGCUCUCGCUUGAUGUUGCAUGAAUUGCAUAAAGCCUCUGAACAUCCCAUUAUUCAUCAUUUGAUCGGUGUUAUUGUUUACCUGAGGAUUAUUGUCUUCCUGUUGCACAUUAUCCUGGGUAUUGAUCGUUGGUGACUCAACAGUCUCAUGUGCUUCAUUGUUGAUCUCAACAUUUUCAGAUGCCAUUUUUAAACACUACCUCAAAACAAGGGUUAAUUGACAUGUCAUAUAUUAUCCCUAUACUCUGACUGACCAAUUAAAUGCCAAAUAAACUUAGGUAGGUCAUACAAGCGAAGGAAUUCCCCGUCUCUCCCCUCCUAGUUAUUGUCUCACAUCUCAGCCAGGGAUCAUAUUCCUAAGCUUUGAUACCAACUGUGACGCCCCCAAAAUAGGUAUACAUCACCCAUCUUGGGUCGCCAAAUACAUGGUACUGAAUACAAAUACAAACUUAAUCAUACAACAUGAGUGAGAGUUUUUACACGUAUAUUGUCUUCUAGACAAUAUCCAAACUCAAAUGGAGUCCUCAUUACAUUUAUUGUCGCACUAUUUUAUAGAAUAGUGAGGACUACUAUAACACCAUCUCGGACCAUCACUCCAUUCCCCGACUAGUUCCGGCUACGUUCUCAUUUCCUAAAGAGAAAAAUGGAAGUAAAAGGGUGAGCUUAACUAGCUAAGUAAGAAAUAUUAUGACUAAGAUAAUGCAAAAUAAGUUAUCAUUAGCCUUCAACAAUGUUAAACUGAUAGAAUAUAAUAUACAACAAGUUUAACUACAGCGGAACACGCAAUCCAUUAGAAGAGUCAAGUAGAGAAUAAUAUCUACUAUCUUCUAUGAUUUAAAAAGUUUAUCAUUAACUUUAUCGCUGGGACUCAACUUAAUAAAUAAAUCACAUAUUCGAAUCAUCUAUGCACUAUGGGCCAAGGAUAUUCAUUAGUAUCACGUCCACAAAUUAUUACUGCACUACGGGUCAAGAAUAUUCAUGUAAUCAUCAAUGGUCAUGAUCAUACCGAAUUAUCCUUGGUCAUAAUUAUACCAAUCAACAGUUUAUCUAUGCACGUAAGCCAAAGAUGACUCUCAUCACAAUAUAAGCAUGAGGAUGAUGACAAUGAUAUAAGAAUUCAAUUAAAAGAAAGCAAAUGAUAAAUUUUUAAAGAUUUAUAAUUUAAUUUAUCCAGGAUUUAAUAAUGUCCAAAUUGUCAACAUGAUGCUGCUUUGUGGAGUAAAAUUCAAGACUAAUAUCCAUGUAUCAAAAAUAAUUUGGACAGAAAGAAAUAAAUUUUUUUGUGAAUAGUACCCCGUGAAUAGUACCUUGUGAAUAGUACUUCAAAAAUAGUACCCCGUGAAUAGUACCCCGACAUGAAAAGUGCCCCAAAUACCUGAGUGAAUAAUAUUUGAGUGAAUAGUAAUCGGGUGAAUAGUAACUCGUGAAUAGUACCCCGGCAUGAAAAGUGCCUCGAAUACCCGAGUGAAUAAUAUUAUAGUGAAUAGUAACCCGUGAAUAGUAUCCCGGGUGAAAAUAUUGAUAUUUAAUAAGAAAGUUCAGAUCAAUAUUCCAGUAAAAUGAUACUGGAUGAAGCACAAAACUCAAGAAUAUUCUAAUAAUUUCAAGGAUUAUAGAAGCAAUACUUACCAUAGUAAGUUUAGAUUUAAGAAUAUGAAAAGAAAUAAUAUACGACACUGCAAAUAGAUUUUCACCUGUCAUACGGUACGUAAUCCGCGUAGACAGGUUAUUCCGACAUAUUAAAGGAUGAAUACGAAAAAUAGUAUUCCUUAUGAAUACGAAAGAAAUAAUACCCCUUACCUUAGUAGAAGGCUGGAUACUACAAUAGUGAAGUAGCUGAAUACUCUUCUUCUUGCGCUCUAUAGUUUCUCUCUUUAUAGUGUCUCUUGUGAAUCUCAGUGAAUUGGUGAGAAUGAAAGAAGAAUUAAGCUUCUAUUUAUAGGAGAAAUGACUAAAUAGUAACUAAUUCAUGAACGGUCCAGAUUAAUUUAUUAUUAGAACGGACGGUCCAUAUUGAUUACUAUUAAAACCAUAACCGACAGUCCAGACUGAUUUACUUUUAAAACCACCACCGACGGUCCAGAUUGAUUUACUUUUAAAACUACAACCGACGGUCCAGAUUGAUUUACUAUUAAAAUCACCAUCGAUGGUCCAGAUUAAUUUACUAUUAAAACCACCAUCGACGGUCCAUAUUGAUAUAAUAUUAAAACCACCACCAAUGGUCCAGAUUGAUUUAACUUAUUACACUUUAGUACCCCUAAAGUUUUCCAAGUUUGCAUUAUUCCCCUUUAACUUUUGUAAUUCACUUAUCUUCAAUAAACACAUUCUUAAUACUUCAACAAUUAUUCAUCAUUAAUAUUAUAACUCACAAUAUUUAACAACCAGAUCAUUCCUAGGAAAGAGGGGGCUUUCCGAUAAGGAUUUCUCCCUAUUGGCGCGCAAUUAGGUGACCAAACCUCUCCUCGACAAAACUUUCUAGACAUCGUCAAUAUUGCAAAUAAUAAUAUGAAUAACUUUAUUGUCUCAAUUAUUGAUUUAAUAAUAUAAAAUAUUAUGCAGAUGAUACUGUAACAAUAAUUGAAUCAAAUAACGUGAGAUACUAUGCAACAAUUACUGUAGCAAUAAUUGGGUAACCUGAGUGGCUUCUUACGUAAGCAUCAAUAAUCUAUACCGUGUGCUACUAUGCAACCACGCGUAUUACUGUACUUUUACCACCGGGUAGUUCAACAGUUUAACAGUAAAACUUUCGCCAUUAUUUUUAUAAAAAGAUAUUUCUGUCGUUUUUUAACUACGACAAUACUUCUGUUGUGGGGUCCACCAAUAAUUAUGUCUUCGUACGAAUAUUCUCUGCUAAAACGAAUAUUCCCCGACCAAUCGAAUAUUUUAUAACAACUUGCUUACUUUGCAAAAUUUGUAAAAAUUACCCACAAAUAUAACAUUAUAUUAUAUCCACACCAUAAUAUUCAAUAAUAUAUUUCGAGAAAAAUUAAUCUUUAUUCAUAAAAGUUGGGGUCUUACAUAUUUGGUCUAUAAAUAUAAGCCUCCAUCAGCUCAUUUGAGAAAAAAGAAGAAAAUAGAGAAAACUCUGUCCAUUUCAGCCCUUAACCUCUUCUAGAGUGCUCCAAACUUUGUGAUUCUUCUUUCUAAACACUUGUAAGCUCGUGUUCAACAACAUACUAAAAUUUAACCGGUGGAAACCGAGUUUUCAGGCCCCAAAAGCUAUCUGAAGUCUUCUUGGUAGCCCACUGUAAGAUUUUUAAAAUUUUUAAGCUUUUUACUGCUUAUAUAUAAGUAUAUAUACAUAUACAUCAAGAAUGUCAUCGAGUAGUUACUCUCGGAUUGUCGUUCCAUGGCUUUUUCCUUCUUAUAUAUAUAUAUAUAUAUAUAUAUAUAUAUAAAAACUUAAACUCGAACAAUUAAGCUCAGAUCGAAUAUCCGUGACUUUUACCUAUCCGUGACUUUUACCGAUUUUGUAUAUAUAUAUAUAUAUAUAUAUACUACUUUUAUACAUAUAUCUGUUUUAACUUCUUUCGCAAUGUAGAUAGUUAAUAUUCCAACCUGUGGACUAGAUUUAUCUAAAUCUGGCUAUCUCUAACUUUGACCAGUUCAAAAGUGAUUAAACUAGAACCGUUGAAGCUAGAAUGACUUAGAUUUAUUUAAAUCUAGUUUUCUUUCUAGCUUUUGUACAUAUUAAUCUAUCAUGUGAGCCUAGGAGCAAUAAGAUCAAAGAUUCAACUUGUGAAUCUAGAUCUGGUUCCCACGAUGGACACUUUCCAGCUGUAACCAGCUUAUAAAUUAUCUAUGGUGUCUGGACAUCCUUGGAUGGCUUUCAUGCCCAUAAGGGGCCCGACACUGCUAUGUAACUUAUUUUCUCGAAGAUGCUUCGCAUCUCAAAAAUAAAAUGAAUCAAGCUGAAUACAAAAUAAAAUGGAAGUAUCAAAGACCUUUAUUACUAUUGAGCAUAAGGGUUUGAAAACCAGUUUUUCAAAACAUCACUGCUAUAUCUUGCCUAAAAUUAAACUUUUAUACAAGUCAAACCCUUUGUAUAUAGGUGUAAACGAGGCAUAGCACUACUUCCAGAUAAUUUCACAUAGGCCCAAUAAACACACACACACACACACACACACACACUGUAAGACCCCAACUUUCAUAAAUAAAGAUUAACUUUUCUCGAAAUAUAAGUUUUGAAUAUUAUGGUGUGGAUUUGAUAUAAUGUUAUAGCUGUGGGUAAUAUUUAUAAAUUUUGUAAAGUAUGCAAGUUGUUAUAAAAUAUUCGAUUGGUCGGGGAAUAUUCGUUUUAACAGGAAAUAUUCGUACGACGACACAAUCAUUGGUGGGGCCCAUAAAAUUGAAAUGGGAUGGUCACGAGAAAGUGGAUGCAGGAAAGUGGUGGAUUUUUUAUAUAUAAUAUAUUAUAAUAAGUUUUUUUUUAUGAAAAAUAAAAUAUAUUAUAUUUUAUUAUGCACAGUGUUUGCAUAGUGCCUGUAUAGUAUUUGCAUAAUGCUACAUAGUAAAUAAAAAAAAAAUUAGUUGAACGUUGUUGCGCCCGUGAUUCCUUACUGUGCAGUCCGUGAUUUUCUAAAUUUAAAUAGUAUCCUUCCAUUCUCCUAUAAAUAGGAUGCUUAGUUUAGAAAUGAAAAUCACACUAGAAUUAGAGAAUUAUUCUUCUAUAAUAUUGAGCAUAUUUCUUUUGAGUUAUAGGAAGCUUUGAGUGUAGAAAACAGUGCAAGUUUUCUUCAAGAAUAUCCCCACUAUACCAAUUAAAAUACUCUCCUUUUUAAGGUAAGGGAUAUUAUUUUUGUUCAAUAUUCGUAAGAAAUAAUAUUUUCUUCCAUACUCUGUAGUAUGUAAGUUGUGAGAUCCCGAAUUUUAUAAAAUAAAAGUAUUCAAUUUUCCUAUUUUAGUAAAUAGUUAAAUUGAUAAAAGGUUAAAGUUAAGGGUGAUAUUUGAAAAUUUUUCAAAGUAAGAAAGUUUUCAUAAAAUAAUUGGUAGUAAAAGUACAAUAAUACGCGUGGUUGCAUAGUAGCACACGGUAUUGAUUAUUGAUGCUUACGUGAGAAGUCACUCAGUUAUACUCAAUUAUUUCUACAAUAAUUGCUGCAUCAUAUCUAUCAUAUUAUUGAUUUAAUUAUUGUCACAGUAUCAUCUGCAUAAUAUUUUAUAUUAUUAAUCAAUAAUUGAGACGACAAAGUUAUUCAUAUUAUUAUUUGCAAUAUUGAUGAUGUCUAGAAGUUCUAUCAAGGAGAGGUUAGGUAAUCUAAUUGCGCGCCAAUAGGGAGAAAUCCUUAUCGGAAAGCUCCCUCUUUCUUGGGAACAACCUGAUUGUUAAAUAUUGUGAGUUAUAAUAUUAAUGAUGAAUAAGUUCGUGUUGAUUAAAGAUGAAAUUGAUAUUUCCAUUGUGUUGGGAUUAUUAAUGUUAGUGGAAAUCGACAUCUAUUCCGAUAAUAAUUGAUGUCUGGAGGUUAUAUUGAUCAAUCGGGUAAUUAAUUGGAUAAAUGAGCUAUUAGUUGCUAUUAAUUCACAUGCUUAUAACUAUGUGUUCACAUGUGUGUACCAUUGAUUCAUAUGUAUGUACUAUUAGGGGAGGUGGUGCAAGAUUGAUAAUACUUGCUUGACUAAAUUAAAAAUGGAGGUAUAGAUGAAGGUACUAUACUGUAAUUAUUUUUUUCACAUGUAUAGAACUAUUGAGUCAUGUGAUUGUACUAUUGAUUCACAUGAUAUACUAUUAGGGGAGGUGGUGCAAGUUUGAUAAUACUUGCAGGACUAAGUUAAAAAUGAUGGAAAAGAUGAAGGUAUUAUACUGUAAUAUUUCGAGCCCCAAAACGUGCAAUUAUCGAAACUAUAUUUUCCUAUAAAUAGAAGCUCAUUCUUCCUUCAUUCUCACCAAUUCACUAAGACUCACAAGAGUAAUUAUAGAGAGAGAGAAGCUAUAGAGAGAAAAGCUAUAGAGAGAAAGAAGAAGAGUAUUCUGCUACUUCACUAUUCCAGUAUUCAGUCUUCUUCUGAGGUAAGAGGUAUUAUUUAUUAUUCUGAAGAGAUAUUAUUUAUUGUAUUCAUAUGAAUAUUAUUUUCGUUCAAUAUUCAUAAAGAAUAUUAUCUUCGUUCAAUAUUCGUAGGAAUAUUAUCUUCGUUCAAUAUUCGUAGGAAUAUUAUCUUCGUUAAAUAUUCGUUGGAAUAUUAUUUUUGUUCUUUGUAAAGGAUGUUAUUUUGUUCAAUAUUCGCUUGAAAUAAUAUUUUCUUCCAUACUCUGUAGUAUGUAAGUAAUAUUAUUUUGUUUUAUAUUUCAAAUUCUAUACUCAUUUGGUUAAAGUAUUGUCUUCUAUACUCCAUGAAAUUAGUAGAAUAUACUUGAUAUUUGCGCUUCAUCCAGUAUCUUUUCAUGGAAAAAUUAUUCUGAGCUUUCUUGAUAAUUAUUGAUCUUUUCAUGACGGAAUACUAUUCAUGAGUUACUAUUUAUGGGUUACUAUUCACUCAAAUAUUAUUCACUCGGAUAUUCGGGGCACUUUUCAUGUCAGAGUACUAUUCACGAGUUACUGUUCACGGGUUACUAUUCACCCAAUUACUAUUCACCCGAAUAUUAUUCACUCGGGUAUUUGGGGUACUUUUUAUGUUGGGGUACUAUUCCCGAAAUACUAUUCACAGGGUAUUAUUCACGGGGUACUAUUUACCCAGAAAAUAUAUUUCUUUUCUGUCCAAAUUAUUUUUGAUAGAUGAAUAUUAUUCUUGAAUUUUACUCCACAAAGCAGUAUCAUAUGUUGAUAAUUUGGAUAUUUUUAAACUCUAGAUAAAUUUAAAGUCUUUCAUAUUUAUCCUUGAUUUCGUUUGAUUAAUGCUUAUAUCAUUGUCAUCAUCCUCAUGCUUAUAUUGUGAUGAAAGUCAUCUUUGGCUUACGUGCAUAGAUGGACUGUUGAUUUAUAUGAUUAUGACCAGGGAUCAUUCGGUAUAAUCAUGACCCGUAAUGUUACAAAUGAUGUGGUAAAAGUCCUCAUUGGCCCGUAGUGCAUUGAUGGACAGUUGUUGGUAUGAUUAUGACCAGGGAUUAUUCAGUAUAAUCAUAACCAUUGAUGAUUACAUGAAUAUCCUUGGCCCGUAGUGCAGGGAUGAUUUGAUGAUGUGGUUUAUUUAUUAAGCUGAGUCUCAGCGAUAAAGUGGAUGAAAAACUUUUUAAAUCAUAGAAGAUAGUAGAUAUCAUGCUCUACUUGACUCUUCUAAUGGAUUGCUUAUUCCGCCACAGUUGUUGAUCUAAAACUUGUUGUCUAUUGUAUUCUAUAAGUUGUUAUACUGUUUAAGGCUAAGGAUAAUUUAUUCUGCAUUAUCUUAGUCAUAAUAUUUCUUACUGAGCUAGUUGAGCUCACCAUUUUCUUUCACUGUUCUCUUCAUGAAAUGAGAAUAUAGCUAGGACGAGUCGGGGUGGAGUGAUGGUCCGAGAUGGUGGCUAUAGUAGUCCUCACUAUUAAAAUAGUGUGACAAUAAAUGUAAUGAGGACUCCAUUUGAGUUUGGAUAUUGUUUGGAAGACAAUAUUCGUGUAAAAACUCUCAGCUCUUGUUGUAUAAUUAAGUUUGUAUUUGAUUUAUGUACCAUGUUUUUGGCGACUUAAGAUGGGUGAUAUAUACCUGUUUUUGGGGCGUCGCAUAAGUAAUAUUAUUUCGUUUCAGAUUCUGAAUUCUACACUCAUUUUGUUAUGUUUUGGCUUCUAUACUCCAUUAAAUUAGUAGAAUAUCCUUAAAAUUUGUGCUUCAUCCAGUAUCUUUUCAUGGAAAUAUUAUUCUGAACAUUCUUGAUAAGUUUUAACUUUUUUAUGCCGGAGUACUAUUCACGGGGUACUAUUCUAGAAUUACUAUUCACGAGGUAUUAUUCACUCAGGUACUAUUCACCUGGAGUACUAUUCAUGACAAAAAUUGAUUUAUUUUCUGUCCAAAUCAUUUUUGCUAUAAUAUUAUUCUUGAAUUUUACUCCACAAAGUAGUAUUAUGUUGAUAAUUUGGAUGUUUUUGAAUUUUGGAUAAAUUAAAUUAUAAAUCUUUAAAAAUUUAUCCUUUGCUUUUGUUUAAUUGAAUUUUUAUAUCAUUGUCAUCAUCCUCAUGCUUAUAUUGUUAUGAAAGUCAUCUUUGGCCCGUAGUGCAUAGAUGAACUGUUGAUCGGUAUGAUUAUGACCAGGGAUCAUUCAGUAUAAUCAUGACCUGUAAUGUUACAAAUAAUGUGGUAAAAGUCCUCAUUGGCCCGUAGUGCAUUGAUGUACAGUUGUUGGCAUGAUCAUGACCAUUGGUGAUUACACAAAUAUCCUUGACACGUAGUGCAUGGAUAAUUCGUGGACGUGAUACUAAUGAAUAUCCUUGGACCGUAGUGCAGGGAUAAUUUAAUGAUGUGGAUUAUUUAUUAAGCUUAGUCUCAGCGAUAAAAUUGAUAAUAACCUUUUUAAAUCAUAGAAGAUAGUAGAUAUCAUGCUCUACUUAACUCUUCUAAUGGAUUGCUUGUUCCGCUGCAGUUAAACUUGAUGUUUAUUGUAUUUUAUCAGUUUAACACUGUUGAAGACUAACGAUAAAUUAUUCUGCAUUAUCUAAGUCAUAAUAUUUCUUACUAGGCUAGUUGAGCUCACCCUUUUGCUUUCGUUGUUCUCUUCAGGAAAUGAGAACAUAGUCGGGACUAGUCGGGGAACGGAUUGAUGGUCCGAGAUGGUGUUAUAGUAGUCCUCACUAUUCUAUGAAAUAGUGUGAUAAUAAUUGUAAUGAGGACUCCAUUUGAGUUUGGAUAUUGUCUAGAAGACAAUAUUCGUAUUAAAACUCAGCUAUGUUUUGUCGUAUUUUACACGACAGUUGUAUAAUUAAGUUUGUAUUUGAAUUCUGUACCAUGUAUUUGGCGACUCAAGAUGGGUGAUGUAUACCUAUUUUGGGGCCGUCACACACACACAAUACAAAUAAUUAGGGUAAUUGAAAAGUUGUGGUAACCAUAUUUUUACAGAAGUUGGGGUGUGCCUAACACCUUCCCCCCGCUUAAUCAAAUCCCCGAACUCAAUGAAUCUCGGUUUUCAAAGCCUGUUAAAUAGUGUCCAACCAUUGGGCCUUUGUGUAAACCUUUUCAAAAUCAGUUGAGUUAGUACACCCAUUUCAAAACUACCAACUAGUGACUCUAUCGUUGACAUUUAUAUGUUGGACCUUUUCAAACUCGCAUUUUCAGACAAAACUCAACCAAUUGAGAACACAAAAAGGCGAGAAUAGAAAGGGACACAAUUUUUCCGACGUUGACACCCAUUUUAUUGGAAAAUAUAGACCCAUAAUGGAAACUCAUAAUAAAAUAAAAGAAAAAAGAAGAGGAGUUUUGCACCAGAAAUGACAAAACUAAUGAUUUGGCCACUAAAGUUGGCACGUUUUAUUGAAUACCCGAUUGAACUUUUACUUUUUCAAAUUAACUCACUGAACUAAUUUUUAUUUUCAAAUUGGGUCAUUCCGUUAAAAAAAGUUGACAGACAUUAAAUUUUUGUCUAUGUGGCGCUGGCGUGGCAAAAAAAAUAAAAAAUAUUGCUUAUGUGGCCAAAAAAAAAAUCAAAAACAGAUUUUAAAAUAAAAAAAAUUAACAUUUUAGAGUUUUAAAAAUUACAAAACCAUAAUAAAAUAAAACAAAAAAUACAGAUUUUUUAAAAAAAUACCGAUUUUUUAAAAAAAUAGAUUUUUUAAAAAAACAGAUUCUUUUAAAAAAAACAGAUUUUUUUAAAAACAAACAGAAUUUUUUUUAAAAAAACAGAUUUUUUUUAAAAAAUCUGUGUUUUUAAAAAAAAUCUGUUUUUUUUUUCAAAUCUUCACGCACAGAGCUGAACGAACACCUAAAAUGGCUGCUCGUUCCAUCUUCCUCACUCUCAAUCGGUAUCCUCUUUCUAUACAUGCAUACAUACAUAUGAAUUUAUAUAGAUAUAGAUAUAUGUGCUAUUUUUUACUGCGUUGAUUCAAGGUUUAAUCUUUCUUUGUAUGAUGAAUACCUAGAAAUUGGAGGAGAGAGAAAAGCAUAUUGAGACCCUUUUCAUCCCUUGCUACGAAAGCUAAAAUUGUGUUCGAUGAACCCCUAAUUUCUGUUGAACAAGAAGAAUCCAUUGACGAUGAUUUGAAAAGCAGAAUAUUCAGGUUGAGACUCCCCAAGCGUAGUGUCACAAAUGUGCUCCAGAACUGUUUGAAAAGCAGAAUAUAUGAAAAGCAGAAUAUUCUAUUUUUAAAAAAAAUCUGUUUUAUUAAAAAAAAAAUUCUAUUUUUAAAAAAAAAUCUGUUUUUUUUUAAAAUCUAUUUUUUUUAAAAAUCUGUAUUUUUUUGUUUUAUUUUAUUAUGUUUUUGUAAUUUUUAAAACUUUAAAAUGUUAAUUUUUUUAUUUUUAAAAUCUGUUUUUGAUUUUUUUGGACACAUAAGCAAUAUUUUUUAAUUUUUUGUCACGUCAGCGCCACGUAGACAAAAAAUUAACGUCUGUCAACUUUUUUUUAACAGAAUGUCCCAAUUUAAAAAUAAAAAUUAGUUCAGUGAGUUAAUUUAAAAAAUUAAAAGUUCAAUCGGGUAUUCAAUAAAACGUGCCAACUUCGGUGGCCAAAUCAUUAGUUUUGCCCACCAGAAAUACAUUAGGCCAUUAAUAAAGAAGUGGAUAAGUUGUUUGAAGCCAUAAUUAAUUCCAUGAAACCUAUAAUCAAGGCAUUGGAUCCUAGAAUCAAGUUCAUGAAUACCAGAAAUUAUGGACUUGAAGCCAAGAAUCAAGGCUGUGAAGGUCCAAAAUUAAGGUCAUGAAGGCUAGAAUUAAGGCCAUAGUGCUCAGAAUUAAGGCUUAAAAUAAAGGUCAUGGAGACCUAUAAUCAAGGCCAUGGAGACCUAAAGUCAAGCCCAUUGAGGUUAAGCAUUAAGUAGCGCCAAGAAUUAAGGCCAUUAAGUCGAAGAAUUAGCGAUAUGGGAGCUAAGAAUUAAGGCUAUGGGAGCCAGAAUCAAGGCCAUAGAAACCCAUAAUUAAGACAACAGAGGGUAGAAUUAAAUUCAAUUCCCUUGAGAUUCAUAAUAAAAGAUAUGGAGCCCAUAGUUAAGGCCAUGGAGGUCCAAAAUUAAGUACACAGAGCUUAUAAUUAAAGUUAUGGAAGCUAGAAUUAAGGUCAAUUUCUGACAAGAACUAAUCUAAUGGGAGCUAAGAAUUAAGGCCAUAUAAUUCAGAAUUACUAUAACACCCACAAAUCUGUGUACUUAUUACCUCAGACUUGGUACAUUACGAUACAACCUUUAUUCGUAAAUUAAUGAAUACAACCUCAUUUUGAUACAAAUUAAUACAUUAGUUCCUCCUAUUUAAGAUUCUUUAACCUUUACAACAUGUUAUUCCAUCUGUAAAUCUUUAAUGAUCUAAUCUAUACAUUUCAAACUAUAAACAAUAUGCUUCAUUUUGAUACAUUAAUUGUGAGUAUUCGUGAGCUCACAGUCCAAAUUAAAUAUUCUUUUGAACAAUGUUCUUUUACUAUGCAACUACAAUAUAUAAUAUUAACAUUCAUCUAGCAUAGCUGGAGACUACGCAAACAAGUGUUUUGGCAUUUAACAUUACCAAAUAAAAUUACUUUAAAGAGAUUACACCAAUGUGUUAGUUUGUUACUAAAGUAUAAAAUACCUUCAAUCACUAUUUCUUCUUGUAUUCCUUUGUUUAUCCCAAAUCCUUCGAUCCACUCUGAUUUAGCUGAAAACAAAUAUUUAUAGCAAGGGUGAGCAACUACGUUGCCCAUCAAGUUUAACAGUUAUCACAUAUCACAUAAUUCACAUUUUAAACAUACAUUAUUCCCUUCAUACUUUUCAUUUCUACAUGAUUCAGGUUCUCAUGCCUGACAUAUAUUCAUGUAUCAUGCCUUACAUAUAUUCAUGUCCCAUGCUUAUCAUGCUUUGCAUUUAAAUAUGAUUCAUAACAUUAAUCCAUAAAGUUCACAUAGAACAUUUCAUCUUAAACCAUCAAAUAAAUAUCAACAAUAUUUAACAAAUAGUUGCACGAAGUGCACAAUAAAUAAGUUCACAUGACUUCCAUAUAUCACAUAAAAUUUUCACAUAAUAUAUAAACACAAUUUCUGACAAACUUGUCUGUACCGACGUUUUACCAUCUACUCCAUCUACAAUCAUAAAUUCCUUCAAAUGAUAACGUACAUCAUCCAUGAGAAUUUAUUUGAUUAAGUUAAUCAUCACCUCAUAAUAAUUAUCAACAGUAAUUAUCUUAACCUAUUCUAAUAAUCAAUCUUUCAACUUAAACCAAUGUAAACGUCCCCUCACAUCAUUUUUACAAAAUUAUCAUAAAAAUAUGUGAUUAACCUUUUCAUAGACUCAUACGUCCCAUGUCGACAUACUCUAUUCGAUAGAAAUUAUUUCGAUGAUUCUCGACUCGUCGGUAAUUAAUAGUUUUUAAUCCGUUGAAAGCCUAAUUCCCCCCAUUAAGUCUCCUUAACCAUUUUAUUAUUAUUAUUUUUAUUUUAUGGACACACAUAUAUACACAUAUUCCAUACACAAAAAUAAUUUUUCUAAUUUUUUUCUUUUUUAUUAAAUAUUUUUCAAAAGCUCAUUUUAGUUCGUAACUUAGCAAAAUUAGCUAUAUUGUGCCCAACUCCAAAAAUUCUCAAAUCUUCAUAGAAUCUUAAAUAUAUUAACAUGAACUUAUAGUUUAAUUUUUGUGGCCAUCAGAGUUAUAAAACUCGAGUUGUAGUCGUUUUCAUCGAAAAAAUCCUAAAAUUAGAAUGUUCAUAACUCUUUCGAUUUAAGUCAGAAUAAGCUCAUCUUCAGACAAACGAUAAUUUAUAUCAUAUAUUUUCAUGUCCCAAAAAUCCAUAUUUUAUUUCAAUGUCAAACUGUUCCAAACAGCCCAUGAAAAAAUAUGGGCAAUAGGGUUUUCAAUUUUUCCAGAUUUUGCCUACUUUGCUAAAAACUGUCCAUACAAAAAUUCACAAAGGAUAAUCCGGAAAUUCCAAUUGAAUAUUUUAGAGGACUCCCAUAUCUAACUCCAGAAAUUAACCACACUAAAAAAUUCAAAAUAGGCUAUGAGUUAUGCUUGUUCAAAUUUCAGGUUCUGUUUUAAGGAAAAAUAGUUUUUCUUUCUUACUUCAUGAUCUUUCAUCAUCCUUUAGUUUAUCAAGCAUUAGCAAACAUAAAUCAUCAUCAUACAUCAUAACCUCCUUAUACUCCAGGAUCCACCAUGAUCCACCAUCAAUUUCAUCAAACUCCCACAAUAAACAUUCUUAUACACAAUUCUUUGGAACAUAGGCUAUAAAAUGAACUAGUUUUAGAUUUAGUGCUUUAUAUACCUUUUCUUGCUUUCCUAGCUUUCCUUCUCCUUGACAAAGCUUUAUAACUUUUUGUCUUCCUUCUUUGCUUCCCUAUAAAUAACCACAACAACACAAAUCUAACAAAUCAUUUACCAAGCUUAGAAAAGAAAAUAAUAGAUGAAUCUAGUUUUGAAUUUUUACCUUUGUGGUUCUUUCUCCUUGUUCUUAUUCUUGCUAGCUUAUGGAUGAUCAAAACUUGAUCUUCCUCUUCCUCCUCUUCUCUUCCAUCCGUGGGUUCCUCUCCCUCUUUCUCUCUUGCUUUCUUUUCUUUUUCUUAGCAACAAAGGAAAU